RNAcentral lists this ribosomal RNA (655 nucleotides) under Lacticaseibacillus rhamnosus. RNAcentral's name for it is "bacterial SSU rRNA". It matches the Rfam family "Bacterial small subunit ribosomal RNA", at positions 371 to 1017 of the family's 1533-position model. The record is from RNAcentral. Lineage: Bacteria; Bacillati; Bacillota; Bacilli; Lactobacillales; Lactobacillaceae.
AUGGACGCAAGUCUGAUGGAGCAACGCCGCGUGAGUGAAGAAGGCUUUCGGGUCGUAAAACUCUGUUGUUGGAGAAGAAUGGUCGGCAGAGUAACUGUUGUCGGCGUGACGGUAUCCAACCAGAAAGCCACGGCUAACUACGUGCCAGCAGCCGCGGUAAUACGUAGGUGGCAAGCGUUAUCCGGAUUUAUUGGGCGUAAAGCGAGCGCAGGCGGUUUUUUAAGUCUGAUGUGAAAGCCCUCGGCUUAACCGAGGAAGUGCAUCGGAAACUGGGAAACUUGAGUGCAGAAGAGGACAGUGGAACUCCAUGUGUAGCGGUGAAAUGCGUAGAUAUAUGGAAGAACACCAGUGGCGAAGGCGGCUGUCUGGUCUGUAACUGACGCUGAGGCUCGAAAGCAUGGGUAGCGAACAGGAUUAGAUACCCUGGUAGUCCAUGCCGUAAACGAUGAAUGCUAGGUGUUGGAGGGUUUCCGCCCUUCAGUGCCGCAGCUAACGCAUUAAGCAUUCCGCCUGGGGAGUACGACCGCAAGGUUGAAACUCAAAGGAAUUGACGGGGGCCCGCACAAGCGGUGGAGCAUGUGGUUUAAUACGAAGCAACGCGAAGAACCUUACCAGGUCUUGACAUCUUUUGAUCACCUGAGAGAUCAGGUUUCCC